RNAcentral lists this ribosomal RNA (253 nucleotides) under uncultured bacterium. Its description in RNAcentral is "partial 16S ribosomal RNA". It matches the Rfam family "Bacterial small subunit ribosomal RNA", at positions 524 to 776 of the family's 1533-position model. The record is from RNAcentral.
UACGAAGGGAGCUAGCGUUGUUCGGAAUCACUGGGCGUAAAGCGCACGUAGGCGGAUGUGUCAGUCAGGGGUGAAAUCCCGGGGCUCAACCUCGGAACUGCCUUUGAUACCGCAAAUCUCGAGUCCGGAAGAGGUGGGUGGAAUUCCUAGUGUAGAGGUGAAAUUCGUAGAUAUUAGGAAGAACACCAGUGGCGAAGGCGGCUCACUGGCCCGGUACUGACGCUCAUGUGCGAAAGCGUGGGGAGCAAACAGG